RNAcentral lists this ribosomal RNA (492 nucleotides) under uncultured bacterium. RNAcentral's name for it is "partial 16S ribosomal RNA". It matches the Rfam family "Bacterial small subunit ribosomal RNA", at positions 28 to 507 of the family's 1533-position model. The record is from RNAcentral.
GAUGAACGCUCGCUACAGGCUUAACACAUGCAAGUCGAGGGGAAACGACGUCGAAAGCUUGCUUUUGAUGGGCGUCGACCGGCGCACGGGUGAGUAACGCGUAUCCAACCUGCCCAUCACUUGGGGAUAACCUUGCGAAAGUAAGACUAAUACCCAAUGAUAUCUCUAGAAGACAUCUGAAAGAGAUUAAAGAUUUAUCGGUGAUGGUUGGGGAUGCGUCUGAUUAGCUUGUUGGCGGGGUAACGGCCCACCAAGGCAACGAUCAGUAGGGGUUCUGAGAGGAAGGUCCCCCACAUUGGAACUGAGACACGGUCCAAACUCCUACGGGAGGCAGCAGUGAGGAAUAUUGGUCAAUGGGCGAGAGCCUGAACCAGCCAAGUAGCGUGCAGGAAGACGGCCCUAUGGGUUGUAAACUGCUUUUAUAAGGGAAUAAAGUGAGAGUCGUGACUCUUUUUGUAUGUACCUUAUGAAUAAGGACCGGCUAAUUCCGUG